RNAcentral lists this ribosomal RNA (409 nucleotides) under uncultured bacterium. Its description in RNAcentral is "bacterial SSU rRNA". It matches the Rfam family "Bacterial small subunit ribosomal RNA", at positions 28 to 423 of the family's 1533-position model. The record is from RNAcentral.
GACGAACGCUGGCGGCGUGCUUAACACAUGCAAGUCGAGCGGUAAGGCCUCUUCGGGGGUACACGAGCGGCGAACGGGUGAGUAACACGUGGGUGACCUGCCCUCAGCUCUGGGAUAAGCCUGGGAAACUGGGUCUAAUACCGGAUAUGACCUUGCCUCGCAUGGGGUGGGGUGGAAAGUCCUGGGCUUGAUUGUCUGGGCUCGGCUGGGGAUGGGCCCGCGGCCUAUCAGCUGGUUGGUGGGGUGAUGGCCUACCAAGGCGACGACGGGUAGCCGGCCUGAGAGGGCGACCGGCCACACUGGGACUGAGACACGGCCCAGACUCCUACGGGAGGCAGCAGUGGGGAAUAUUGCGCAAUGGGCGGAAGCCCUGACGCAGCGACGCCGCGUGGGGGAUGACGGCCUCGGU